Molecule: ribosomal RNA, 253 nt
Filed under: uncultured bacterium
Lineage: Bacteria
Description: partial 16S ribosomal RNA
Rfam family: Bacterial small subunit ribosomal RNA
Source: RNAcentral
UACGGGGGGGGCAAGCGUUGUUCGGAAUUACUGGGCGUAAAGGGUUCGUAGGUGGCCAACUCAGUCAGACGUGAAAUCCCUCAGCUCAACUGGGGAACUGCGUCUGAUACUAGAUGGCUUGAGUGCAGGAGAGGAACGCGGAAUUCCAGGUGUAGCGGUGAAAUGCGUGGAUAUCUGGAGGAACACCGGUGGCGAAGGCGGCGUUCUGGACUGCAACUGACACUGAGGAACGAAAGCCAGGGGAGCAAACGGG